Molecule: ribosomal RNA, 459 nt
Filed under: uncultured bacterium
Lineage: Bacteria
Description: partial 16S ribosomal RNA
Rfam family: Bacterial small subunit ribosomal RNA
Source: RNAcentral
CCUACGGGUGGCUGCAGUGAGGAAUAUUGGUCAAUGGCCGCAGGGCUGAACCAGCCAAGUCGCGUGAGGGAUGACGGUCCUAUGGAUUGUAAACCUCUUUUGUCAGGGAGCAAAGGGCGCCACGUGUGGCGCUUUGCGAGUACCUGAAGACAAAGCAUCGGCUAACUCCGUGCCAGCAGCCGCGGUAAUACGGAGGAUGCGAGCGUUAUCCGGAUUUAUUGGGGUAAAGGGGUGCGCGGGCGGAAUGUCAAGUCAGCGGUAAAAUUUCGGGGCUUAACCCCGUCGUGCCGUUGAAACUGGCGUGCUUGAGUGAGCGAGAAGGAGGCGGAAUGCGAGGUGUAGCGGCGAAAUGCAGAGAUAUCACGCAGAACUCCGAUGGCGAAGGCAGCAUACCGGCGCUCAACUGACGCUCAUGCACGAAAGCGUGGGUAGCGAACAGGAUUAGAUACCCCAGUAGUC